UUUUAUUAUAAGCUGGGAAGGGAAAGAGGGAAUAAGAGAUAGUUUACCUUUUGUAUUAGGGACUAAUGAGUUAUUUAUUUGUUAGAAAUAUUUCCUAUAUAGUUUUAUUAAGUUUUUAUUGAGAAUUUGUUUUAUUAAAGGGACAUAGAAAAGUUAAAAUUAAAAGUUGAGAGGAAAUUAGGUUAUAUGAUUUCUUACGAAACUAAUAAAAUUAGUAGUUUAGGGAAAUGUUAAAUUUUUAGGGGAUUAGCUCUUGAAAAUUUUAAAUAUUGUGUUAGGUUUAUAUUAACAAUAUUUAUAAAUGAUUAUGUUUAAAAUAUUUUUAUUCUUCUUUAUAAACUUAUUUUUUUUUAUUAAGUUAGAAGUUGGAGAGCAAUAUUAACUAUAUUUUUGUAUUAAAAUGUUAGUAUAAGUAUAGUAGGAAUUUAGGGGAAUAAUACUCUUGAAAUGAACUUGAAGAUUAAUUAAAUGUUUAUUAAAAACAUUUUUAUAAGAAGUUUAUUUGUAAUAGGUUCUGCUCACUGGUUUUGUAAAAUUAAAGAGCUGCAGUAUAAUGACUGUACAAAGGUAGCAUAAUCAUUUGGUUUUUAAUUGAAAUCUGGAAUGAAAGAAUGAAUGAAUUAAUCGUUGGUUUUUUGUUGAUUUAGAAUUUAUUAUGUUAGUAAAAAUUCUAAUAGGUGAAAAAUAGACAAGAAGACCCUAUUGAAUUUAAUAAAAUAAAUUUUGUUGGUAAAAGUUUUUUAUUUAUCUGGGGAAGAUUAGAAUUAAAUAUAUUAAUAAAAGUUAUAUAAAGAGCUAAAAGAUUACAUAAAGGAUAAAUUACCAUAGGGAUAACAGCGUUAUUAUUUUUGAUAGUUCAUAUUGACAAUUUAGUUUACGACCUCGAUGUUGAAUUAAUAUAAGUUUUAUUAUGCAGAAGUAAUAAAAACUAGUUUGUUCAACUAUUAAAGUAUUACAUGAUUUGAGUUUAAAUCGGUGUGAGCCAGAUUGGAUUUUAUCUUUUUAUUAUUAUUUUUUGAAUUAGUACGAAAGGAUUU
RNAcentral lists this ribosomal RNA (1037 nucleotides) under Pauropus longiramus. Its description in RNAcentral is "16S ribosomal RNA". The stretch from base 830 to 989 matches the Rfam family "Archaeal large subunit ribosomal RNA", at positions 2542 to 2701 of the family's 2987-position model. The record is from RNAcentral. Lineage: Eukaryota; Metazoa; Arthropoda; Pauropoda; Tetramerocerata; Pauropodidae.